Long non-coding RNA from Carassius auratus (goldfish), 474 nucleotides. RefSeq lists it as uncharacterized. The transcript is spliced from 4 exons. The record is from RefSeq and is a predicted model, not a curated record. NCBI's taxonomy places the organism in Eukaryota, Metazoa, Chordata, Actinopteri, Cypriniformes, Cyprinidae.
CGUCGAAGCCAUAAAACUCCGUGUUAUUAUCAAUAUAAUGAGAGAGAUGCACAUAUAGUGACUGGAAAGCCUUCUUUAAUAUUUUGUUCAUGCGGAUGGCUGUGUAUUGUGCUGAGUGACCGUGAUUUCUGUCGAGACACGUACCCAUGUGACGAAAUCAGAUCGACAAUAGAUCUCGAAGCAGGGGAGAAGAGAGCUCUGUAGGCCUUCUGUUUCCUCAGGCCGAGUGUGAAGCAACAGAAGGGGAAAUUGAGUUCAUCAUUGGCUGUGAAAGCGUGUACAAUGCUAUGGUGAUGCUAUGAUGAUGAACAUAUAAGAGUCCACUAUCGUUGUCUAUGUUGGUUAUAUUCAUGUAAUUGACCUGUUAAUGUGGUGACUGAGAACAAAGAGACAAGAGAGUUUGAUGUAAAGAAAAAAUAACAUCUUUAUUGAUUUCAACCACUGUAACAAGCCUUACUAUGUAACACCCUUAAG